CUGAAGAUAUAUAUUUUAAUGGACACAUGACACCUAUUUCUGUCUUUUAGAUAUUACCAAAAAAGAGUAAUUGUUGAUUAUUUUAUUGGAUAUUGAAAGAAUAAAAAAUGCAGCUAAGAAGUCAGAAGUUAAAAAAAGCCCUAAAUACCUCAAAUUCCAGACCCUGCCCUCUACCUGUACUAGCUGACCAUAAAGUUAGAUUAAAAUCUUAGAGAAUAAUCUUGAGAAGCAGGAAGCUUCUCCCAGGAACUGAUGGACCAUAAAGUAAACAAUCUUGAGAAACAGGAAGCUCCUCCUUGUGAUUUUUCACUGGUAUUCUCGACAUUUUCCAAUGAUGCCCUCCCUACCUGCUGGGGUUGAGGUUUCUUCCUUUAAAUUCCCCUUGUCUUAGUUACUGGGGGUCGAACUCCACUGCCCCUGCAUGGGAUAUGAGUCUCGACCUCAGUGCACUGGUUCCUAUCAAUAAACCUCAUGUUUAUUACAGCAAGAACGGUAUCACGUGAGUUCUUGGGGGGUCGCAUCAUCCCGAGACUUGAGUGAGGGUCUCCCCGCUCUGGGGGUCUUUCAAUAUUUCCAACUUUAUUUAACUAGAUGUCGACAUUAAAACCGCAGUUAGUGAAAUUUAUGUUUAUCUUUAUUAUUUUUAUAUUUUCAUGAAGAAGUUUCAGAAAUAGUCACAGAAACAUAUUUAUUCAAUAGUGUGAGCUAGUGAUUGUCAAAUCCUAUUGAAUAAUAUUUUUAUAUGUAGUCUUUGAGAGAAGAGAGUCACAUUGAUGAAUCUUCAGACACAUAUUAGCUAUUAAAUAGUGGGUUAUGAUAUUGAUACAAUAAGAUAGCAACAAUUGAGUGAUGAAAAAUGGACUCUUGUGAUCUCUACUUCAGUUGGUUUGCUCAUUUCAGCUCUGAACGAUAUUGCUGCUCACCAACUCACUUACUGUUGUCCAGCAGACAGAGACAUCGCUCUGUCCAUGAAACUUAUGUAUUAAAUUCACAUUUUCUGUAUAUCUUCAAGGAUACAUUUAAUUGUUGUUGCUGGUCUUCUGUGGUUUUGUUCUACAUGCUACUGAUAUAUCAGGAUGGAAACAAUCCUUUUAUCCCGUCUUAAUCAUAUUAAAUAUGUUUCCUUUUCCUUCUGGCUCUGUUCCAUCAUGUAGAAUCUUAGAAGAAGGUGAAAAUUGCUGAGGCCACUCUAACUGUAUUUAACUACAGAAAAAAAAAUUCCAAGGCAAAAAGUAAAUAAGUCAGUAAUUAAAGAAUUAUUUAUGUUAAUAAGUUUUUGGAAUCUUUGAAUCUACAAAGCUUAAAGAAAGUAAAAAUUAAACACUACAGACACAGUGGAAUAUUUCCAGAAUUAUUUUCAAGAAAUAUAAGAUUGAAAAACAAAAACCUUUUGAAAGGAAGAUAUUGAAGGCCCACAUUUAUAGUAAAUCUGAGCUCUUUCUGUGGGAGCCUGUGAACAUGGAGAUAAUGUAAUUCUCAUAGUAACCACUGUAAUGUUUUUAAUGAACAAAUAGUUAUUGACUUUUUCCUUUUUGAGAGAUAGAGAUUCAAUUAUUCAGUUAGUUGUUCUUCUUUUAUCACUCAGGAGCUUUAUUUGUAAUGUAUUCAGUGUGACCAACUCUUCUCUAGCUACUGACUUUUAUCCCAGCCUGAAGAGGCAGGUUAGACACAUUUUGUUUGUUUGUUUGUUUGUUUUUUUACUGUUCUUACUGCUUUUGAUUUCUGUUGGUGGUGGUGGUGGUUGUUUUUGUUUUGUAGGGUCCCUUUUUGGUAGUUGGUUAAUUUGAACCUUGAACUAUUAAUUUUAUAAAUAUAUCACAUAAAGGCUUUUAUUUUCUUUUAACUUAAAACUGAAAUCUCACGUGAGAAUUUUUGAUGCUAGAGAACAUAGUGUGCUUAUUUUUCUACAGUUCCUAAACUCACUUUUUCAAAUUCAGUUAGGAAAUCCACAGGAUUGCAAAUCAGAUCACAGCCAUGAUGUUGAAGAAGCAGUGAGGUAGUUAUCCUAGUUAAUUUUACCACUGAUAAUAGAUUUUUUUCAUAAUCUUUCUAGAUCUUGUGCUAUUUAAAAACACAAGGAAGCAAUGGAACUAACAUGCCCACUAAGAGAAAGAUGAAAUUUCCAUUUAGAAAUGGGCAUUGACAGCUAAGUGUGAAUACCUUAAUUGUGAUUACAUCAAAUAAAGUACACUUGCAUAGAAUAUCUGAAUUGUGGCACACCCAUAAUAUAAUAGGAAAAGAUCUGGAGGCAUAAGACAGCAAGGUUUCCGUCUUGUUGGGAUCCCACCCUGGCUGCAUUUGAUGAUAAACUGUGAUGUGGAAGAGGAAGCCAAAAUUCCUUUCUUCAAGAUGCAUUUCAUCACGUUUCAUCUCACCAAUGGAAACCCAGGAGUUAGUGCAACUCAAGAAAGAUGGCCAUGUGAAAAGAAGGUUUAUUUGAAGAGAUACAACAUCUCAAUGAUACCUGAAGAGGAAGUUACAAAUGAAAAAUCAAUGUUCUGUGCUGCAUGGAUUCCCUCCAUAAUACUGUAGAACUUGUUGUCCCAGGAGGGAAGAUGCAGAGGGGGAGGGUAGCACACUCUCAGACACAAGAGGAAAGGGGCUCCAAGGUGGGGCAACAUUGGGUUGUAAAUAAAUAGAAUACUUAAUUAAAAUAUAAUAAAAUGAAAGUAACAUGCCAAUAAAGAGAUAAUAAAUAUUUUUAACAAAUUA
Non-coding RNA from Rattus norvegicus (Norway rat), 2712 nucleotides. The record is from RefSeq and is a predicted model, not a curated record. Lineage: Eukaryota; Metazoa; Chordata; Mammalia; Rodentia; Muridae.